This 65-nucleotide transfer RNA is filed under the name Dipodomys ordii (Ord's kangaroo rat). It matches the Rfam family "tRNA". Rfam says of the family: Transfer RNA (tRNA) molecules are approximately 80 nucleotides in length. Lineage: Eukaryota; Metazoa; Chordata; Mammalia; Rodentia; Heteromyidae. The record is from Rfam by way of RNAcentral.
GGUGGCUCAGUGGUAGAGUGCUUGCCUUGCAUGCAGGAGGCCCUGGGUUUGAUAACUCAGCACCA